RNAcentral lists this long non-coding RNA (173 nucleotides) under Chinchilla lanigera (long-tailed chinchilla). Its description in RNAcentral is "lncRNA (ENSCLAG00000026350.1)". Lineage: Eukaryota; Metazoa; Chordata; Mammalia; Rodentia; Chinchillidae. The record is from RNAcentral.
GCAACACUGAAACCAUGGCAGAGAUUCUCGUUGAAGGGAAGCCAGGAGCCUCUAUAGAGCUCCACAAGCAAAGGGACGAUGGUGGCUGCAGGGCGGGUGGGGAAGAGCACAGGCACCGAAAGCUCUCAGAGGUCACCCAAGCGAAGAAGUUGAUUUUGGCCGCCAGGGAAUAG